Long non-coding RNA from Pieris napi, 952 nucleotides. RefSeq lists it as uncharacterized. The transcript has 3 exons. The record is from RefSeq and is a predicted model, not a curated record. NCBI's taxonomy places the organism in Eukaryota, Metazoa, Arthropoda, Insecta, Lepidoptera, Pieridae.
UUCCUGGCACUGGAUUCCACGGGCUGUGGGUCGAUUAUAAGCUUGUCUGUCUCGUGUCAACACAUCAAUGAACGUUACACAAAAUAGGCCACAUCAUGUUGUUUAGGAAUUAGGAAAAUGAACUUUCAAAUUUACUAAUUUUAUUUCUGAACGAAUUAUUCAGUUAAUUCUUUUAUUUUUGUAGUAUAAAGGUAAUAGGUAAAAGAGGUAUUCCUAUGCAUUUUUGAAAAGAACAAAAUUUUUUCAUACAAAUAUUUAAUUAUUAUUAUUUUUUAUUUUUUAUCCAUCUGCAAUCAGCCUCAUGGCUUUUAUCAGAUUUUAUGAGAAAUAAUGGCAAUUAGGGAACGCAAAUCCAAUAAUUUUUGUAUCAUAACUGUCAGACUGCGGCAAGUUUUACCUUAUUCAGCCGAUACACACUGUCCGUCGUUUCCAAGAGGCCCGAAGCUAGGAGGUUGACGUGUUGUUAAAGUCUCAUUUUGUACAUAUGUAUAUAUAUAUUUAAUGAAAAAGUAUUUUACGUUAUCGAUACUUUAACAAAUUCACGAAAUUUUUGUCGAUUCUCAUGCUGUUUUAAAUUUCUAACCAAUCUCUUGAUGUUUUUCAGAGGCAAUAAUGGGCCGUAAAGCAGUAGUAGCAGUGUGCACCCUUAAUCAAUGGGCUCUGGACUUUGAAGGCAAUUUUAACCAGGAUUCUUGAAUCUAUUCAAAAAGAAAAGGAGAUGGGUGCAUUAUAUCGUACUGGGCUGAAUCGCAAGUAUUAGAUGACGUACGUAGAGUUAUAUGUGAUUUUAAUUAUACGCCCAAAGACCCUAAAGAGCUAUGCAAUAAAUUGCUCGUUACUUGUUAUAUGGCUUCGAAAAACUCUAGCGAAGAAACUAAGCUACGAGCUAAGGAGUUGGCGAGUGAAAUAGGCAGUUAUCACUUUCCGAUAAUAAUUGAUACAGCUGUAUUGG